CUAUUGCAAGAUAAACAGAUUAGAUCUAUAUCAAAGUCAAAGCAAGGUCACAUCUAAAAUGCUAGACAGUUUUACCAGUAAGAGUUGUUUUUCCAGAUUCCUAAGAGCAGCAUUUAAAGUGACAAGAAUCAAGUCAAUUUCAUUCUAGUGCUGUCCCAGACAGCCUGGAGCAGCAACAAGUGGAGGCAGAUCCAAAAACCAGACACUUUAGGAAGCCAGAGAAGAGGCAGAGAGAGCUACUUUGAGUUUCAGACACCUACUAGCAAGAGUUUCAUACAAAAGAUGGAGUCAUCCAAGGGGAGUUCAAGAUCUCUGGUCGGAAGAAUCCCAACUCCCUCCUAUAAAGGCAUGUUUUAACUCCAAAUAUGAAUAAUGGAUUUGAAGAAAGGAUGUUGCUGCACAUAUUAAUCUGACAAAAAAGAAAACACUCCAGAGGGCCUGAGAACAGUCAAGAUUACUUUACAUGGUCAACAAUCACAUGACAGAAGGAUUAAAAACUUUGAAGUAAAUAUAUACAAGUAGAAUUACUUUGAAAAUGUAAGAAAAGACUUUUCAGAGUUAGAGAUCUGAUAUAGUUUAUCUUGAGAUUUUUUCUGCACACUGAUGUUGACUGUGCAUGC
Long non-coding RNA from Mauremys reevesii (Reeves's turtle), 620 nucleotides. RefSeq lists it as uncharacterized. The transcript has 4 exons. The record is from RefSeq and is a predicted model, not a curated record. NCBI's taxonomy places the organism in Eukaryota, Metazoa, Chordata, Testudines, Geoemydidae.